UACAUGCAAGUCGAACGGCAGCGCGGGAGCAAUCCUGGUGGCGAGUGGCGAACGGGUGAGUAAUACAUCGGAACGUGCCCAAUCGUGGGGGAUAACGCAGCGAAAGCUGUGCUAAUACCGCAUAAGAUCUAUGGAUGAAAGCAGGGGACCGCAAGGCCUUGCGCGAAUGGAGCGGCCGAUGGCAGAUUAGGUAGUUGGUGAGGUAAAGGCUCACCAAGCCAUCGAUCUGUAGCUGGUCUGAGAGGACGACCAGCCACACUGGGACUGAGACACGGCCCAGACUCCUACGGGAGGCAGCAGUGGGGAAUUUUGGACAAUGGGCGCAAGCCUGAUCCAGCCAUGCCGCGUGCAGGAUGAAGGCCUUCGGGUUGUAAACUGCUUUUGUACGGAACGAAAAGGUCUUUUUUAAUAAAGAGGGCCCAUGACGGUACCGUAAGAAUAAGCACCGGCUAACUACGUGCCAGCAGCCGCGGUAAUACGUAGGGUGCGAGCGUUAAUCGGAAUUACUGGGCGUAAAGCGUGCGCAGGCGGUUAUGUAAGACAGUUGUGAAAUCCCCGGGCUCAACCUGGGAACUGCAUCUGUGACUGCAUAGCUAGAGUACGGUAGAGGGGGAUGGAAUUCCGCGUGUAGCAGUGAAAUGCGUAGAUAUGCGGAGGAACACCGAUGGCGAAGGCAAUCCCCUGGACCUGUACUGACGCUCAUGCACGAAAGCGUGGGGAGCAAACAGGAUUAGAUACCCUGGUAGUCCACGCCCUAAACGAUGUCAACUGGUUGUUGGGUCUUCACUGACUCAGUAACGAAGCUAACGCGUGAAGUUGACCGCCUGGGGAGUACGGCCGCAAGGUUGAAACUCAAAGGAAAUUGACGGGGACCCGCACAAGCGGUGGAUGAUGUGGUUUAAUUUCGAUGCAACGCGAAAAACCUUUACCCCCACCUUUGACAUGUACGGGAAUUGCCCAGAGAUGGGCUUAGUGCUCGAAAGAGAACCGUAACACAGGUGCUGCAUGGCUGUCGUCAGCUCGUGUCGUGAGAUGUUGGGUUAAGUCCCGCAACGAGCGCAACCCUUGUCAUUAGUUGCUACAUUCAGUUGGGCACUCUAAUGAGACUGCCGGUGACAAACCGGAGGAAGGUGGGGAUGACGUCAAGUCCUCAUGGCCCUUAUAGGUGGGGCUACACACGUCAUACAAUGGCUGGUACAAAGGGUUGCCAACCCGCGAGGGGGAGCUAAUCCCAUAAAACCAGUCGUAGUCCGGAUCGCAGUCUGCAACUCGACUGCGUGAAGUCGGAAUCGCUAGUAAUCGUGGAUCAGAAUGUCACGGUGAAUACGUUCCCGGGUCUUGUACACACCGCCCGUCACACCAUGGGAGCGGGUUCUGCCAGAAGUAGUUAGCCUAACCGCAAGGAGGGCGAUUACCACGGCAGGGUUCGUGACUGGGGUGAAGUCGUAACAAGUAG
This 1456-nucleotide ribosomal RNA is filed under the name Variovorax ginsengisoli. RNAcentral describes it as "bacterial SSU rRNA". It matches the Rfam family "Bacterial small subunit ribosomal RNA". The record is from RNAcentral. Lineage: Bacteria; Pseudomonadati; Pseudomonadota; Betaproteobacteria; Burkholderiales; Comamonadaceae.